RNAcentral lists this transfer RNA (74 nucleotides) under Blastopirellula sp. Its description in RNAcentral is "tRNA-Pro". It matches the Rfam family "tRNA". Rfam says of the family: Transfer RNA (tRNA) molecules are approximately 80 nucleotides in length. Their secondary structure includes four short double-helical elements and three loops (D, anti-codon, and T loops). Further hydrogen bonds mediate the characteristic L-shaped molecular structure. tRNAs have two regions of fundamental functional importance: the anti-codon, which is responsible for specific mRNA codon recognition, and the 3' end, to which the tRNAs corresponding amino acid is attached (by aminoacyl-tRNA synthetases). tRNAs cope with the degeneracy of the genetic code in two manners: having more than one tRNA (with a specific anti-codon) for a particular amino acid; and 'wobble' base-pairing, i.e. permitting non-standard base-pairing at the 3rd anti-codon position. RNAcentral also lists the same sequence under 1 other name. The record is from RNAcentral. Lineage: Bacteria; Pseudomonadati; Planctomycetota; Planctomycetia; Pirellulales; Pirellulaceae.
CGGGGUGUGGCGUAGGCUGGUAGCGCGUUCGGCUGGGGGCCGAGAGGUCGCAGGUUCAAAUCCUGUCACCCCGA